Molecule: ribosomal RNA, 434 nt
Filed under: uncultured Lachnospiraceae bacterium
Lineage: Bacteria; Bacillati; Bacillota; Clostridia; Lachnospirales; Lachnospiraceae
Description: bacterial SSU rRNA
Rfam family: Bacterial small subunit ribosomal RNA
Source: RNAcentral
ACGGAAGGCAGCAGUGGGGAAUAUUGGACAAUGGGCGCAAGCCUGAUCCAGCGACGCCGCGUGAGCGAUGAAGUAUUUCGGUAUGUAAAGCUCUAUCAGCAGGGAAGAAAACGACGGUACCUGACUAAGAAGCUCCGGCUAAAUACGUGCCAGCAGCCGCGGUAAUACGUAUGGAGCAAGCGUUAUCCGGAUUUACUGGGUGUAAAGGGAGCGUAGACGGCAUCACAAGUCAGAAGUGAAACUCCGGGGCUCAACCCCGGAACUGCUUUUGAAACUGUGGAGCUAGAGUGCAGGAGAGGUAAGCGGAAUUCCUAGUGUAGCGGUGAAAUGCGUAGAUAUUAGGAGGAACACCAGUGGCGAAGGCGGCUUACUGGACUGUAACUGACGUUGAGGCUCGAAAGCGUGGGGAGCAAACAGGAUUAGAUACCCUGGUA